This is a non-coding RNA of Dromiciops gliroides (monito del monte), 131 nucleotides long. RefSeq annotates it as small Cajal body-specific RNA 15. The transcript has a single exon. The record is from RefSeq and is a predicted model, not a curated record. NCBI's taxonomy places the organism in Eukaryota, Metazoa, Chordata, Mammalia, Microbiotheria, Microbiotheriidae.
UAGAAAUCUUAUAAAAACAAAUGUUGAAAAUCAAUCUGACUCUUCUGAUACUAGCCUCCUAAAUGAAAAGGUCGUUGGAACAGGCCCUGUCUUCAAGAUGAAUUCAGGUCCUACUUCAUCAACCGACUAUG